Hylaeus anthracinus is the source of this 340-nucleotide long non-coding RNA. RefSeq lists it as uncharacterized. The record is from RefSeq and is a predicted model, not a curated record. NCBI's taxonomy places the organism in Eukaryota, Metazoa, Arthropoda, Insecta, Hymenoptera, Colletidae. The transcript is spliced from 4 exons.
CCGAGGAAUUGGUGCGAUCCUGUAAGGUAACGUACCACUGACUUCAUUUCGUCGCUACGCGGUCCUGCUCAGUUCCGAGUUAGACGCGGCUGGUUAAAGAGAUUUUAUAUUAUUUUCCUUCGACGAUGAGCGAAAAAAAAGAAAUAAUUCAUGUCACACCUCCAAUGGAACUGGAUUCCGUAGAAAAUCAUGAUCCCUACCAGACGGAGCUAGCUGCGCUGCAUCUGACGCUGCAGCGUUUAAGUAGAGAGGUGGCUGCAAUAAGGGCGAGCGGGGGAGCCCCCUCAGUCACAAAUACGCCCGCUGCCGCCGCCGCCGCCGUCGCUGAUCGAACAACGAC